RNAcentral lists this ribosomal RNA (254 nucleotides) under uncultured bacterium. Its description in RNAcentral is "partial 16S ribosomal RNA". It matches the Rfam family "Bacterial small subunit ribosomal RNA", at positions 524 to 776 of the family's 1533-position model. The record is from RNAcentral.
UACGUAGGGACCAAGCGUUGUUCGGAUUUACUGGGCGUAAAGGGCGCGUAGGCGGCGUGACAAGUCACUUGUGAAAUCUCCGGGCUUAACUCGGAACGGCCAAGUGAUACUGUCAUGCUAGAGUGCAGAAAGGGCAAUCGGAAUUCUUGGUGUAGCGGUGAAAUGCGUAGAUAUCAAGAGGAACACCUGAGGCGAAGGCGGGUUGCUAGGCUGACACUGACGCUGACAGCGCGAAAGCCAGGGGAGCAAACGGG